UUCUAACUAGGCUGCUCACAGGCGCUUCACAUAUGAAGAAGAAACGUCAUUUCCCUGUCGUCAGAUGCACAUUGAACAAGCAAUUCAGCCCCUAAAGCCACUUCGUCACCUUUACUCCCAAUGAACGUGCAAAUAUACAAUGUCUUACUUUAGGCGUGCCGGUGGAUCCUCUCUAUCACUGGCUGUGGGUUCAUUCCAUUUGACGCGGGCCGUGGGCCUACCAGGAUCACUGUUAACCUCGAAGCUUCUCGGACAAGAUAUCACUGGUGGCAUGUUUGGCUUUACUACCUCUGCCGGAAAGAAGAUUUGACUAGAUACCCUUGAUUAAAAGUAAUUAGGACUGUGGAGAUUUCAUUCACUGAAGCCGUAGUCGGUAUUUUAAACUCUCGGCGACAGGUAGGAAAUUUGAGUCUGGACCUAACAUACAAGUUUUAGGUAGCAACGCACGGGGCACGGGGACACAGCCCAGUACAUCUCGCGUCGUCUUUAACUGUAAGGCAUACUUGUAACCUGUGGUAUUUGUUUUCGACGUAUUCUUGAAACAAGAGGAUAAUUUACUGCUGGUUGAGCAGCGUGUCCCAAGUCUUGCAGUCAUACUGACAAUGUGAAUUAAAUUUUGCAUCACCACUGAUGCUAAAUCUUG
Molecule: long non-coding RNA, 643 nt
Organism: Haliotis rubra (blacklip abalone)
Lineage: Eukaryota; Metazoa; Mollusca; Gastropoda; Lepetellida; Haliotidae
Exons: 2
Source: RefSeq, a predicted model, not a curated record